Molecule: non-coding RNA, 1109 nt
Organism: Ailuropoda melanoleuca (giant panda)
Lineage: Eukaryota; Metazoa; Chordata; Mammalia; Carnivora; Ursidae
Source: the annotation of a RefSeq genome assembly
GGAGCCCCAGCCCUGGGAUUCCUAGGUAUUCCUAUUCAUUGAUCAGCACAGAACACAAACUACUUACCAUGGAGUCUGUGCUUGGCUGGAUUUUCCUUGUUGCUCUUUUAAAAGGUGUCCUGUGUGAGGUACAGCUGGUGGAGUCUGGAGGAAAACUGGUGAAGCCUGGGGGGUCCCUGAGACUCUCCUGUGCAUCCUCUGGAUUCACCCUCAGUAGUUACUGGAUGAGCUGGGUCCGCCAGGCACUGGGGAAGAGGCCACAGUGGGUCACAUACGUUAGCCAUGGUGGUAGCACAUACUAUGCAGACUCCGUGAAGGGCCGAUUCACCAUCUCCAGAGACAAUGGGAAGAACACGCUGUAUCUGCAGAUGAACAGCCUGAGAACUGAGGACACGGCCCUGUAUUACUGCGUGAAGGACACAGUGAGGGGAUUUCACUGUGAGCCCAGACAUAAACCUUACUGUAGAAGGGGAUCUCAACCUCCUGGGGGUGCACACUACCCACCAAUUUUAUCUUUAAGCUCCAGGAGUAGAUGGAGCUGGAGGAUAUGGGCAGAUUUCCUGUCAGGGUCUGUGGCUUCCACUCCUAAAAGUUGUUUUUUCCCCCAGGGAGCCUCUCUAGACACAUGAUUCUGUGCUUACCUCCUCAGUCUCUGACUUAGAAACUUAGGAAAACAGCUAAACUAACAAUUACAAAAGACAGUGUCACUUACACUUGCUUGUUCCUGUCCCUAGAUACUAAUGAAUUACAAAUAUCUCCAUGUAUGUCAUCUGAACCUUACAGGCAUCCCAGCUACACUCUCUGUUCAUCAAAGGACCACUCAGUUCAAUGCACAAGAUUUUUAGAAGCAGCACAAAGUGCGUGCUGGACUUGAGGCCACAGAAGCAUCAACAAUCCAAAGCAAGAGAAGAAAGAAACCUGGUAGGGUCUCUGUCUUGAACCAUGUUCACAGCAUCAAUGUGAAUGACAGCAUGGGAAAGCAAAGGAACCUGCACCAGGAUGUUGUGUGGAUAUAGAGUCUAAAGAUCAUAUGCACACAUUCACUCACACGUAAGAGAGUAUAAAACCUUUAUCACCUUAACCAUCGUGUCUGUUGAGAGGAGGGCAGG